RNAcentral lists this ribosomal RNA (468 nucleotides) under uncultured bacterium. RNAcentral describes it as "partial 16S ribosomal RNA". It matches the Rfam family "Bacterial small subunit ribosomal RNA", at positions 28 to 507 of the family's 1533-position model. The record is from RNAcentral.
GACGAACGCUGGCGGCGUGCUUAACACAUGCAAGUCGAACGGAAAGGCCCUGCUUUUGUGGGGUGCUCGAGUGGCGAACGGGUGAGUAACACGUGAGUAACCUGCCCUUGACUUUGGGAUAACUUCAGGAAACUGGGGCUAAUACCGGAUAGGAGCUCCUGCUGCAUGGUGGGGGUUGGAAAGUUUCGGCGGUUGGGGAUGGACUCGCGGCUUAUCAGCUUGUUGGUGGGGUAGUGGCUUACCAAGGCUUUGACGGGUAGCCGGCCUGAGAGGGUGACCGGCGACAUUGGGACUGAGAGACGGCCCAGACUCCUACGGGAGGCAGCAGUGGGGAAUAUUGCACAAUGGGCGGAAGCCUGAUGCAGCAACGCCGCGUGCGGGAUGACGGCCUUCGGGUUGUAAGCCGCUUUCGCCUGUGACGAAGCGUGAGUGACGGUAAUGGGUAAAGAAGCACCGGCUAACUACGUG